AAAUGAAUAGACGGGGACCCGCACAAGUGGUGGAGCGUGUUCUUUAAUUCGACGAUAAGCGAAGAACCUUACCAGGACUUGACAUCCUGCUAAUCUUUCCGAAAGGAGAGAGUGCCUUCGGGCCGCAGUGACAGGUGUUGCAUGGCCGUCGUCAGCUCGUGUCGUGAGAUGUUUGGUUAAGUCCAUUAACGAGCGCAACCCUUAUGAUUAGUUGGAUUUUUCUAAUCAGACUGCCUCGGUAACGGGGAGGAAGGAGGGGAUGAUGUCAGGUCAUUAUUGCCCUUACGUCCUGGGCUAGAAACGCGCUACAAUGGCCGGUACAAAGGGCUGCCAACCCGCGAGGGGGAGCAAAUCCCAUCAAAACCGGUCCCAGUUCGGAUUGCAGGCUGAAACUCGCCUGCAUGAAGUCGGAAUCACUAGUAAUCGUAGGUCAGCACACUACGGUGAAUACGUUCCCGGGUCUUGUACACACCGCCCGU
Molecule: ribosomal RNA, 479 nt
Filed under: uncultured bacterium
Lineage: Bacteria
Description: bacterial SSU rRNA
Rfam family: Bacterial small subunit ribosomal RNA
Source: RNAcentral